AGCGGAGCAAGUGUGUGCGUGUAUUUCUACAUCUGUUUGUGCACGCAAUGGUGUAUGCGAAACACAGCUGACGAUGCUCUGCCUGCGAGCGUGAGUGCAUGUGUCCUCAAAUAUCUGACAGUUCAGCAGAUGCAAAUUAGUUGUGUGUCUCAUUCAAGGCCAUUCCAGGCAAUAGCUCCACUAACUCGAGGAGGAGGAGGUAAUGAAGGGCAACUCCGCUAUCGAGGCCUAAGGCCCGGCGCUCAGACCUGUUAUUAGCGAACUGAAAGCAAAAAGCGACCCACAAAACCAGACGGGGAGACGAUGAGUCACUAAAGACGAGGGCGUAAGAAAAAGUUUGACGGAAUAACAAGUGUGAGUACGAGUGGCAGUCAGAUUAAACGUCAUCUGCAAACGAAGCAUUGUAUCGACUCGGCUGGAGGAACAGGAGGCUGGGUUCAGCAUCGGGGAGGGUGUCAUCUGAAUUCAUGUAUCAGAUGCUCAUUUACAUGUUCAGGAAUAAAACAGCGAGCAGCAGGAGAAAUACCAGACGCACCGUUUGACUGAUCAGAGCUUUCAACACAGAUUUGCAAACAACAGCAGACAACACACUCUGCCUUGUGUGUCUAAAGUUUUUACCAGUCCUGACCUAUUUUCUUCUCUGGCAUGUUAAAACCGAUUCUGGCUACCCACUUAAUUUUCAAUUUGACCUGGAUUUUCUUUCUUUCUUUCUUUUUAAACCAGCUUCACGUUCUUAGCGCUCACAGCUCCAUUCACAGCUCAAGUUUCUCCAGCUGUCCGCUCGGCAAACAGAAGGCACUCUUUCAUAACCUAUUAGUGGCAAAUGCUUCCCCAUAAUCCCUCUCAGAAUGCAUGACUAAGUGUUGGAGCGGGCCUGGCAGCUAACGGCAUAAUUAGGAGCCUAUAAUUAUUAUGUUGGAGGCAGAACAGGAAGCGCUAUCAACACGGGGAUGAUAACGGAUGAACGUGAGGAUAUCAUCAAGACAGAUGAUCGGACCGCUCGUUCAGUCAUCGCUCUGAAAAGCAGCUGAAUGUGUGUCCGUCUCUUUCACUCAGUGAGCUGAUUUGUUGCCAUAGAGAAGGGUUUCUGCAAAACGGCUGGGGAUUUCAUUUGAUUGACAAAACCAUAUGGGGAUGGAAAUAACCAAAACAUAUGGCAUAGUGUCCUCGUAUUGUAAACAUCGUUAUAAAACCAAAAAAAACUCCUCAAAAAACAGUGGUGUGGCAGAUUCCUGGGAAAAAUUGUUAACUGAGCCAGCUCGGUGUUAGACGAGGUGUCAGAUUUUAUCAGCUGUGGCUGACAGGGGUCAGCAGGCCAGGCUGCAAACUGCAGGGGAGAGAUGCUGCUGCAGCGACAAGAUGGAGACAGGAGGAAGGAGGAGGAAAAAUGAGACGCUGACACAGGAGCAAAGUCACUCUACAGGAGAGAAGCUGACGGAUGGAGCCCGGGUCAUUAAACAUGAAGAGCUGCGUUUUGUCAGCUCACAAAAGACAGCAAGAAAAAAAAACAUCCUUCAGUAGGAACUGUGAGAAACGAAAUGGGGAAGAAGUAGAGCUGUACUCAUGGUCUGUACGGACUCUUUAAAAACGUGUCUGCUGAACAAAUGUAGGUUAAGGACACAUGCUGUGUGACUAAGCCAAGACGGCGUGCGCAUGCCUACUCAUGCGCGAGUGACUGAAUAGGGAGGAAAAUGUGCCCGGCUGUGUUUCUACUCAAUCUUCUCCUCAUUCCUGCGCGCUGCUGUAUGACACUGACAUCCAAAAACACAGUCUGUGUGUGUCUUCUGAAAGCCGUGCCUCCAGGAGCAACAAGCAUGGUGACGAAAGCGACGCCUGAGCCCGGUCUCGCCAUGGAGACCCAGUGACCGGGCGGGACAAAAGGGUGAAGGGGGCGGGGGGGCUAAAACCUCUAUUGGUGAAAACAAGAGGGGGGAUAAUUACUCUGAAUAAUUCUCAGCUGGCAGGACUCGCCCACCCACUACUGAAAGGAAAAAUAAAUUAACCCUCUCUCGUCAGUGGGGGAGGGGUGGACGAAUGAACUCCAGAAAUGUCCCUGAUACAGUACAUAUGGAAUACCCCACCCCCACCCCUUACACUCCACAUUCACUACCAAGCACGCAAAGUAGCGUACACAUGAGUGGGUGCACAGUCAAGAUUAAUGCCAGAAGACGUCUACUUUAAAGCUGCACGAGCUUGUUAAAACUAUAUAUGACUGGAAAUAUGACAACAGCCACCAUAGCGUGGUCUGAUCCACUUAAAGUGAGCCGGACAGCCAAACCGCACAUACUGAUGCAGAGGUAAACGUGUUGAUAUGCACAGACAGACGUAGCAUCCAAAAGUGGUUAGGGAUGAUUUAUUAUUGCAGUUUGAGCAUCUGGUUGAGAAAACUGUGCACUAAGCUCUUAAAUAACCCUGUUUCUUGUUCAUAGAUGUUUGUUAUCUGAAGCUAUGCCUGAGGAAUCCACUUAUGUGAUUUCUUAUCAAGCUGACUCAGGCUAUUACCAUUUUUACAGGAAUGAUAAUGUGCGGUGCAUUAAUAACUUCAUAACCAGCAUCUCAGCUGUGUGCCGGUUUCUUAGCUUGUCUGUAAAAAGUGCUUAAUAUGAUGCUCCAACAUAAACCACUGAGAAUCCAUUCAUUCAUUGUCAUCCAUGCAUCAAACUGAGUGAAAGGGGACACCGUGGACAGGUCGCCUAUCUGUCACAGGGCCAACACACAGAGAUAAUCACGCACACGCUCUCAUUCACACCUACAGUCAAUUUAAAAAUCACCAAUUAGCUUAGCCAAAUGCAUGUGUUUGGACUGUAGGAGGAAGCCAGAGUGCCUGCAGAGAAACCACACAGACCCGGGUGAACAUGCAAACUCCUCACAGAAAAGGCCACGCACAGAAGCCCACAGAAAAGUUUUUAUUGACUGAACAGCGCCCCCAGUGGCAGUCAACAACAGAAAGCCAAUACUCUUAUAAUGACUCCUGUAACAUUCUUAACUUUACAUUGAAAUCACGUGUUUACAGACUGGUACCAACAAGUCUGUGCCCCAGUUUUUGUGAGCUAAAUUCAGGUCUUUAAUUGGUCCGUUGCUCAACACUCUAUGGCAGUUUAGAUGUAGCUUGCUAACUUAGCUUGGUACCAUUAGCAUUAGCAUUAUUUGUAUACGGCACAAAAGCAAAGCGGUGUUUAUUACGAUCGAUGUGGGUCAUGAACCGGGCCCAGACUCUGCAGCGUCAGCGAUCACGUCAAAGAACGGGCACAUUUGUGUGAGCCCGACUGCUAUCUACACCGAUCAAAAAGCAGUGGUUUCUUCACAGCCACCCUCCCACUGAAGCCAUUCCUGAUGUGGCUGCAGUCAACGGUAGAUGGACCAACACUAAAGGGCCAGAAUGAUCCCUCAUGUCCUGAAACAACACGACUUUCAGAUGCUGCAGAUAUUUUUAGGUGGUUGGCGCUGACAGGCAGGUAGGCGGGAAAAGACACAGCGAGGUAGAAAGGAUGGUCAAACAAGACUUCCAUUCUGGUGAGCCGGCGCCUCGGAAACGAGCUCUACCAUGAAAGUUCCCCAUGAUUUAUUGCACAAAGGGUUGUAACAACUCCUCGUCUGUAUAAGCAAAUGGUCUCCAGCAAUUCUCCUGUGGGACUGAGAAUUUGUUCCAUCUGUGCAAAACUGGGAUAAAAGGUAGCAGAUGGGCUGGAAACACCAGCGGAGUCAUCCUCGCCAUCCACCUCAGACAAUCUAUACUCGCAGACAGCCUUCCGCCUCCAUGCCAAGCCUACAGCUGGGGUGCGAGGUAGCGUGCCAGCUUCCAUCACACCGAACCUCCUCUGCGCAGCAAUGUUACGAGCUUUGGUGGAGGCACGCGGUGGAUGGUUUCAUUUGAGAUGCUCGCUGACAAAAAAGGCAAGUUUUUAUAGUUUAGAACCACGCAGAGGGAACGACUUCCGGAAAAAGUCCCGGCAGAUGCGGCACAGACAGAUAAGGCGUUUUCACAUUCCACGGAGUGACAGACGUGAGAGAGAGGUGGGUAGAGUGAGGCGCGCGAGUCUGCCAAGUUUACUGUACUGAACAAACAGAGAAGAUGCCGUGACCUACAUCUAUCAAACGCGCUCCAAUCCUGCUUCUCUAAACUGGCGCAGAAGAGCAGACUUCAAGGGCACACGUGCACAAACAGUAUAAACACAGUCAUACACACAAAGCAUCACAACUGCCAUCCCGGUUCUUGUCUUUUACCUUCACUUUACUCACUCAGGAACCCAAAUUUCACUGAAGUUGUAUCAGUCUGGCCAGAUCGACACAGAUAAUUUAGGUCACGCUUUUCAGCGAGUCACAAGAGGGCUGCAGAAAAGAGGAAUGCUCGGAUAUACGCUGUGUGGCAUUUGGGAUAGAUAAGCAGGGUAAAUGCUAUCCAAACUCAGACUGAGGGCCCUUCAAAGAGAGAGCAGUUGAAAGGGAGAGUUGCAGAUAAAAGGCAAACAGAGAGUGAGACUGAGGAACACAGGACGGGACUGUUCUUAUGACAAAAAAACAUUCAACACAAAGACUGCUGCGACUAGCAAUGUGCCAUCAGAAGCAGUGAGAAGGAACGUCACACGGUAGCAAACCUGCAAGUAAACAACGCAGCAUUGUCUUUUACUCAAGAUGCAAUUAGUCGUGGUAGAAAUAGAAGUUUGUCUACCUUUAAAAAAAUAAAAUAAUCAGAGUUUUAACAAACCAAUAUAUCCAUUAACGAUGCAUUUGUGUGUUAUUUUGGUUUAGACCGCUUGUUUGAACAAAAAACUAUAUUUUAUACUCAAGUUUUCAUUUUAAAACUUGCUCAUCAAUAAAAGU
Long non-coding RNA from Oreochromis niloticus (Nile tilapia), 4821 nucleotides. RefSeq lists it as uncharacterized. The transcript has 4 exons. The record is from RefSeq and is a predicted model, not a curated record. NCBI's taxonomy places the organism in Eukaryota, Metazoa, Chordata, Actinopteri, Cichliformes, Cichlidae.